UGAUACCAGGGUAAAAAGGUCAAGUGCGUUCGGGCUUGCGCGAAAACACACUUGACCUUGGUACCCGCCCAAACAUGAGGAUGCAGCGAUUUACGAAGUAAAUCAGCGAAUCCGAAUGUUUGCAGGAUUGCGAGAGCAGUGUAACUGUGGAGCAAUCCGUGGGUAUCA
This 168-nucleotide small RNA is filed under the name Clostridiales bacterium KLE1615. RNAcentral's name for it is "Clostridiales-1 RNA". It matches the Rfam family "Clostridiales-1 RNA". Lineage: Bacteria; Bacillati; Bacillota; Clostridia; Eubacteriales. The record is from Rfam by way of RNAcentral.